Molecule: long non-coding RNA, 447 nt
Filed under: Equus asinus (donkey)
Lineage: Eukaryota; Metazoa; Chordata; Mammalia; Perissodactyla; Equidae
Description: lncRNA (ENSEASG00005036424.1)
Source: RNAcentral
GAGACCAUGAGAUGUCCCACAGUGUGGCUGAGACUCAAUUUGCCUGUGUGAUCUUGAAGAGUAAAUGAAUAUAAAUUUCAGAUUAAAAAAGAUGUACCUCCACCUUGCCAGCAGACUCUAUUGCCUUCCUGGCUCAUACGUUUUGAUGAAGCAAGCAGCCCUGUUGGAGAGGCCCAUGUAUCAAGAAACUGAAGGCAUCUCCAGGCAACAGCUAGCAAAGACCCAAGGCCCUCAGUCCAACAGCCCAGAGAGAAUUGAAUCCCGCCAACAACUGCUGAAGUUUGGAAGCAGAUCCUUCAUCAGUCAAACCUUCAGAUGAGACGCCAGCCCUGGCUGACACUUUGCAUGCAGCCUUAUGAAAGACUCUGAAGCAGAGGCUGAAACUAAGCUCUGCCUAGACUCCUGGUGCACAGAAUCUGUGAGAUAAUAAAUGUGUGUUGUUUUAAG